GGAUUCAUACGUUGGUCAGGCUUAAUUGUCUGUACUGGUGAGAUGAAUCUCUACCUUCUGAGGAACUUUCAUGCCAUUUAUUUGGUGUGAUGGGAAAUCAGGACUGUUACUUUGAAAAAAUUAGAGUGUUUAAAGCAGGCUAACGUCUGAAUACAUUAGCAUGGAAUAAUGAAAUAGGACGGACUGAUUCUAUUUCGUUGGUUUCUAGGAUCACCGUA
This 218-nucleotide ribosomal RNA is filed under the name Campeiostachys nutans. Its description in RNAcentral is "Elymus nutans partial small subunit ribosomal RNA". The stretch from base 46 to 218 matches the Rfam family "Eukaryotic small subunit ribosomal RNA", at positions 691 to 864 of the family's 1831-position model. The record is from RNAcentral. Lineage: Eukaryota; Viridiplantae; Streptophyta; Magnoliopsida; Poales; Poaceae.